Molecule: ribosomal RNA, 301 nt
Filed under: uncultured bacterium
Lineage: Bacteria
Description: bacterial SSU rRNA
Rfam family: Bacterial small subunit ribosomal RNA
Source: RNAcentral
UCGUUCCUACGGGGGGCAGCAGUGAGGAAUAUUGGUCAAUGGACGAGAGUCUGAACCAGCCAAGUAGCGUGAAGGAUGACUGCCCUAUGGGUUGUAAACUUCUUUUAUAUGGGAAUAAAGUUUUCCACGUGUGGAAUUUUGUAUGUACAAUAUGAAUAAGGAUCGGCUAAUUCCGUGCCAGCAGCCGCAGUAAUACGGAGGAUCCGAGCGUUAUCCGGAUUUAUUGGGUUUAAAGGGAGCGUAGGUGGAUUGUUAAGUCGGUUGUGAAAGUUUGCGGCUCAACCGUAAAAUUGCAGUUGAA